This 529-nucleotide ribosomal RNA is filed under the name uncultured bacterium. RNAcentral describes it as "bacterial SSU rRNA". It matches the Rfam family "Bacterial small subunit ribosomal RNA", at positions 777 to 1304 of the family's 1533-position model. The record is from RNAcentral.
AAUAGAUACCCCGGUACGUCCACGCCGUAAACGGUGGGCACUAGAUGUGGGGCUCGUUUCCAUGAGUUCCGCGUCGCAGCUAACGCAUUAAGUGCCCCGCCUGGGGAGUACGGCCGCAAGGCUAAAACUCAAAGGAAUUGACGGGGGCCCGGCACAAGCGGCGGAGCAUGCGGAUUAAUUCGAUGCAACGCGAAGAACCUUACCAAGGCUUGACAUAUACGGUCUAUCCCUAGAGAUAGGGAGUGCUUCGGCGCCGUAUACAGGUGGUGCAUGGUUGUCGUCAGCUCGUGUCGUGAGAUGUUGGGUUAAGUCCCGCAACGAGCGCAACCCUCGUUCUAUGUUGCCAGCACGUAAUGGUGGGGACUCAUAGGAGACUGCCGGGGUCAACUCGGAGGAAGGUGGGGAUGACGUCAAAUCAUCAUGCCCCUUAUGUCUUGGGCUUCACGCAUGCUACAAUGGCCGGUACAAAGGGCUGCAAUCCGUAAGGUGGAGCGAAUCCCAAAAAGCCGGUCUCAGUUCGGAUUGAGGU